GAUGAACGCUAGCGGCAGGCUUAAUACAUGCAAGUCGAGGGGCAGCACGGUUAGCAAUAACUGGUGGCGACCGGCGCACGGGUGCGUAACACGUAUACAAUCUACCUUAAACAGGGGGAUAGCCUUUCGAAAGAGAGAUUAAUACCCCGUAAUAAAUUGAACGGCAUCGUUUGAUUUUGAAAGCUCCGGCGGUUUGAGAUGAGUAUGCGUCUGAUUAGCUAGUUGGUGAGGUAACGGCUCACCAAGGCGACGAUCAGUAGGGGAUCUGAGAGGACUAACCCCCACACUGGUACUGAGACACGGACCAGACUCCUACGGGAGGCAGCAGUAAGGAAUAUUGGUCAAUGGAGGCAACUCUGAACCAGCCAUGCCGCGUGCAGGAUGACGGCCCUAUGGGUUGUAAACUGCUUUUAUACAAGAGAAAACCCUGGUACGUGUACCAGGUGAUAGUAUUGUAAGAAUAAGCAUCGGCUAACUUCGUGCCAGCAGCCGCGGUAAU
RNAcentral lists this ribosomal RNA (499 nucleotides) under uncultured bacterium. Its description in RNAcentral is "bacterial SSU rRNA". It matches the Rfam family "Bacterial small subunit ribosomal RNA", at positions 28 to 524 of the family's 1533-position model. The record is from RNAcentral.